Molecule: ribosomal RNA, 520 nt
Filed under: uncultured Glomus
Lineage: Eukaryota; Fungi; Glomeromycota; Glomeromycetes; Glomerales; Glomeraceae
Description: SSU rRNA
Rfam family: Eukaryotic small subunit ribosomal RNA
Source: RNAcentral
AGCAGCCGCGGUAAUUCCAGCUCCAAUAGCGUAUAUUAAAGUUGUUGCAGUUAAAAAGCUCGUAGUUGAAUUUCGGGACCAAUUUGUUGGUCGUGCCUCGGUACGUACUGGUAUUAUUGGUUUCUCCCUUCUGAAGAACCAUGAUGCCAUUAAUUUGGUGUCGUGGGGAAUCAGGACUGUUACUUUGAAAAAAUUAGAGUGUUUAAAGCAGGCAUACGCUUGAAUACAUUAGCAUGGAAUAAUGAAAUAGGACGUUUGAUUCUAUUUUGUUGGUUUCUAGGAUCGACGUAAUGAUUAAUAGGGAUAGUUGGGGGCAUUAGUAUUCAAUUGUCAGAGGUGAAAUUCUUGGAUUUAUUGAAGACUAACUACUGCGAAAGCAUUUGCCAAGGAUGUUUUCAUUAAUCAAGAACGAAAGUUAGGGGAUCGAAGACGAUCAGAUACCGUCGUAGUCUUAACCAUAAACUAUGCCGACUAGGGAUCGGAUGAUGUUAAUUUUUAAUGACUCAUUCGGCGCCUUACG